RNAcentral lists this ribosomal RNA (498 nucleotides) under Triticum aestivum (bread wheat). RNAcentral's name for it is "partial small subunit ribosomal RNA". The record is from RNAcentral. Lineage: Eukaryota; Viridiplantae; Streptophyta; Magnoliopsida; Poales; Poaceae.
CAAAAAUGGGAAACUCCCGAAGAUGGAUGGGUAAAGAUCAACUCCGACGGCGCGGUCUCGAGGCAAGGUGACAAAGGUGGAGGAGGGGUGGUCCUUCGUGACCACAAUGCGGCGUUCUUAGCCGGGUCAUGCCACUUCUUCCCUAAUGUUACUGACCCGGAGAUGGCAGAAGUUCUGGCGUGCAAGAACGCUGUCCGCUUAGCGUUGGAUCACAAUAUUCGGAGAGCUCAUGUGGAGGUUGAUUGCAUGUCGCUUGUGCAAAAGCUAAAUAACCAGGAGAGGGACCUUUCUGCGGUCGGUCCUUGGGUGCAGGAUAUCAAGUCGAUGCUCAGGUCUAUGGAGGAGGCCAAGGUUACAUGGAUCAGUCGUUCGGGAAAUGUCGCCGCUCAUAAUCUUGCUCGUGUAGGUGUAGGUGAGAACCGUUCAGAGGUGUGGGUGGGUUCACCACCAGAUUUUAUCUUGCAUGUAAUUUCGGAUGACAUUCCUAGUUUUGAAUAA